GGGAAGGUGGCAGCGGGGAAAACGCGCCGGCGGCGGAGCCUCUCCUCGACGUGGGAGGAGAAGCGGUGCUCGCUCGGCAGGAGGCGGCGGCUGGAGCGUCCGGCGGAGUGGAUACACCGGAGGCAGAUCCGGCCUCUCGGUGGUGGAUCUGCUCCCCUCCCCUCCCCCGGCCAGAUCAGGAGAGCUCACGGCAGCGCGACACGGCGGCAGCGGGCAACCGGCGGGAGCGAUGGCGGCUGGCCGGCCGACAGUGGCAGCGCAACCGCGGAGGCGCAGCCGGUGACGGCGGAGGCCGGUGAGGCACGGCCGGCAGUGGAGGAGGUGGCCGCGGUGCGUGGAGGCAUAGCCGAGGUGCCGGUGCGGCACGACGAGGCUGGCCAGCGUGGAGGCGGCGGCCGGCGCAGCAGGAGCGUCAUUCCCCUCCUGAGGGCGUUGUCGUGCCGUCUCACCCCUCAAGGGUGGCUGUCGGGCGAAAGCUCAGUAUCGGCUCUCUUUGAGACCUUGACGAACGGCGGCAGCGGUGUUUUGUCGCUUCUCUCCUUGAAGAUGUCGUCUAGGCAUCCCCUUGCCGACCCCCCCCCCCUGAGCAAUUGA
RNAcentral lists this long non-coding RNA (594 nucleotides) under Oryza sativa aus subgroup. RNAcentral's name for it is "lncRNA OsN22_09G020250". The record is from RNAcentral. Lineage: Eukaryota; Viridiplantae; Streptophyta; Magnoliopsida; Poales; Poaceae.